RNAcentral lists this long non-coding RNA (3047 nucleotides) under Nicotiana benthamiana. RNAcentral's name for it is "long non-coding RNA (NBEN_LNC032208)". Lineage: Eukaryota; Viridiplantae; Streptophyta; Magnoliopsida; Solanales; Solanaceae. The record is from RNAcentral.
GUAACCUGAGUCACAGUUCAACUGUCAUUGAUUUUGAUGGCGAAGGCGCAUAGCCUGAGUCUUUGUUCAAUCGUAGUUGAAUUUGCUGGCGAAGGCACAUAGCCUUGAUUUAAUGGCGAAGGCGCACAACCUGAAUCCCUGCUGACCUAUUGUUGAACUUUAUCGAUUUUGAUGGCGAAGGUGCAUAUCCUGAGCCUCGGUUCAAUCGUAGUUGAAUUUGGUGGCGAAGGAACAAAGCCUUGAUUUAACGGCGAAGGCGCAACCUGAAUCCCAGUUCAACUGUUGUUGAACUUUAUCGAUUUUGAUGGAAAUGGCGCAUAGACUAAGUCCCGGUUCAACUGUAGUUGAAUUUGCUGGCGAAGGCACAUAACCUUGAUUUAAUGGCGAAGGCACAACCUGAGGUUUGGUUCAACCGUGGUUGAAAUUACUGGAGAAGGUGCAUAGCCUUGAUUUGAUGGUGAAGGCGCAUAGCCUGAAUCCCGAUUCAACAGUAGUUGAACUUCAAUAAAUUUGAUGACGAAGGCGCAUAGCCUGAGUCCCAGUUCCACUGUCAUUGAACCUUGUCGAUUUUGAUGGCGAAGGAGCAUACCCUGAGUCUUGGUUCAACAGUAGUUGAAUUUGCUAGCGAAGGCACAUAGCCUUGAUUUUACAGUGAAGGCGCGCAAUCUGAAUCCCAGUUCAAAUGUUGUUGAACUUUAUCCAUUUUGAUGGCAAAUGAGCAUAGCCUGAGUCCCGAUUCAACUGUAGUUGAAUUUGCCGAUGAAGGCACAUAGCCUUGAUUUAAUGGCGAAGGCGCGUAGCUUGAAUCCUAGUUUAACUUUUGUUGAACUUUAUUUGAUUUUGAUGGCAAGGGCGCAUAGCUUGAGUCCCAGUUCAAUUGUCGUUGAACCUUGUCAAUUUGAUGGCGAAGGCGCAUAGCCUGAGUCUUGGUUCAACCGUAAUUGAAUUUGCUGGCGAAGGCACAUAGCCUCUCUUGGAACAGUAGUUGAACUUAUUGGCGGAGGCACAUAGCAUGUCUUGGUUCAACCGUAGUUAAACUUAUUGGCGGAGGCACAUAGCUUGUCUUGGUUCAACCAUAGUUGAACGUACUGGCGACGACACAUAACCUUGAUUUAAUGGCGAAGGCGCGUAGCUUGAGUCCCAGUUUAACCGUGGUUGAACUUUGUUACAUUUGAUGGCGAAAGCGCAUAGCUUGAGUCCCAGUUAAACUGUCGUUGAACCUUGAUGAUUUUGAUGGUGAAGGCGCAUAGCCUGAGUCUUGGUUCAACCGUAGUUGAACUUGUUGGAGAAGGCACAUCAUCUUGAUUUGAUGGUGAAGGUGCGUAGCCUGAAUCUUUUUUUUUGGUGUUUGAGAGCUGAGGCUCGAUUUUGAUUCGAGAUCUUGAGCAGCUUAUGUGCUAUGUUCCCAAUCGGGGUUUUUAGACUGGCUUGAGGUGACUCUUGGUUCGAGAUAUCUUCAUGCUGAUUUCCAGCUGGAUCUCGUAUCAGGGAUGUGAGAGAUUCCUUACAGAGAUCCUCCCUCAAGGGGGGGGGGGGGAGGGAUGCUUCUUCUUCUUGCUUGCACUAUCCGAGAGAGGAGAGAUAGAGGAAUUGGAUCUCGAUUCUAGAUCUUAGAGUUCCCUCUGUCUGAUAUGCCACUUUGGCUUGUUUAAGCUUGGUUGUUCUUUGGCAUUUCUUUCCUUUUGGUCCAGGACAGAACUACGCGAUUUUGCUAUGAAAUCCCCACAGACGGCGCCAGAUUGUUUGCUUAAAAGUUAUCAUAUACUUUAUGAGUGUGAAACAAUACAAACAAAUCAAGAAAAAAUAUAGCAAACCGUAAUAAUCCAUUGGACCAAAUGAAAGAGGCGAAAAUAAAAACUCAGAAUUAGGAGAAGAGAUAUUAAAAGCUUUUAUUGAUAAUAUUGAGUUGGUCUGCCUCUCCAUGGAGAGGUUCAGAGCCUUACAGUGGUGUUUUCCUUUCCCAUAAUAGGGGUUUCAUUGUAUCUUUCAUCUUUCUCGUGAAUAGUGGCGAAGAAGCAGCUCCUCUUUUAAGGUUCUCUCUCUUGGUAUUUAUAGCUGUGAGCUUCAUGGGUUGUCAAUAAGUGGUCGUGAUCAUGUUGUAGAUUUGCCCUAAUGAUGGUGAGUGGGCUGUCGCCUUAUUGGUCGAGUUAGAUAAGGGUUAAACACCAUUGGCUUUAAGUGGUCAUACGACUUAUUAAUCGUGUAUUAACCGAAAGACGGGAUUAGACCCAUUAAUUGUCGUGGCGUCAGAUUUUGACUCAUAUAGUAACCAUGUUAUUUAUUCUUUAUUUCAUAUGUUUACGGAUCCAAUUUAGGAUUUGUGAUAUUCAUGUGAGGUUGGAGAAUAAAAAAAUGACGCAAUAGUAUAAAAGUUAGUCAUCUCGUAAAGUUAGAGAAUGGGGAAGAGAAUGACAUAUAUCAAAGUACAGAGAGAAAGAAAAUAGUAUAACUGUAUAACAUAUUUAGUGGCUUAGGAGUAGGAGGUUAUCAAAAUUAGAUAUUUUGCUAUAAAUAUUAAAAGGUAUCUAUAAAAUAUAGUUUUUUAAAAUUAUAUUUAUUUAAAAUAAAUAAGUUGUUAACCUUUGCUAUAAGAUGUAAAAAUUUCUUGAAUUAAAUUGUUAGAUGAAGAUUUUCCGAAAAGUUUCACUUUUGGUAAGUGUUUACAGGAUAAACUUAAAAAAAGGAGAGGGUAUAUUAGAAAGGACAAAUUAGUCAAGUUAUAUAUAAACAAUAAUAGACAAAAAUAAUUAUUACAAAGAAAAAUAAAAGAAAGAAGGUAAACAUAAUAUUGUAAACCACGAGGGAAGUCAGUAUAAUAAAACAAAACGUGAGGGAGAUUUCUAAAAGUAUCCAACAAUUUUACCCUUGUCAUUUAAUAUUUCGUUAACACUAGGUCUUCGACAAGGUACACAACCAUUUUAUUAAAGAAAAUAAUACUUGAAACAAACAAAGUUUAACAAUUCAAACUUUACUUCGAAGGGGAAAAUUGCAUACAGAUAUGUUAUGAAAUAAUAUAAGAACAAGAACAAUAAUACAAGAACAAGAAC